AGAGUUUGAUCCUGGCUCAGGACGAACGCUGGCGGCGUGCCUAAUACAUGCAAGUAGAACGCUGAAGAAAGGAGCUUGCUUCUUUUGGAUGAGUUGCGAACGGGUGAGUAACGCGUAGGUAACCUGCCUUGUAGCGGGGGAUAACUAUUGGAAACGAUAGCUAAUACCGCAUAACAGCUUUUGACACAUGUUAGAAGCUUGAAAGAUGCAAUUGCAUCACUACGAGAUGGACCUGCGUUGUAUUAGCUAGUAGGUAGGGUAACGGCCUACCUAGGCGACGAUACAUAGCCGACCUGAGAGGGUGAUCGGCCACGCUGGGACUGAGACACGGCCCAGACUCCUACGGGAGGCAGCAGUAGGGAAUCUUCGGCAAUGGGGGCAACCCUGACCGAGCAACGCCGCGUGAGUGAAGAAGGUUUUCGGAUCGUAAAGCUCUGUUGUAAGAGAAGAACGUGUGUGAGAGUGGAAAGUUCACACAGUGACGGUAACUUACCAGAAAGGGACGGCUAACUACGUGCCAGCAGCCGCGGUAAUACGUAGGUCCCGAGCGUUGUCCGGAUUUAUUGGGCGUAAAGCGAGCGCAGGCGGUUUAAUAAGUCUGAAGUUAAAGGCAGUGGCUUAACCAUUGUUCGCUUUGGAAACUGUUAAACUUGAGUGCAGAAGGGGAGAGUGGAAUUCCAUGUGUAGCGGUGAAAUGCGUAGAUAUAUGGAGGAACACCGGUGGCGAAAGCGGCUCUCUGGUCUGUAACUGACGCUGAGGCUCGAAAGCGUGGGGAGCAAACAGGAUUAGAUACCCUGUAGUCCACGCCGUAAACGAUGAGUGCUAGGUGUUAGGCCCUUUCCGGGGCUUAGUGCCGCAGCUAACGCAUUAAGCACUCCGCCUGGGGAGUACGACCGCAAGGUUGAAACUCAAAGGAAUUGACGG
Molecule: ribosomal RNA, 925 nt
Filed under: uncultured bacterium
Lineage: Bacteria
Description: bacterial SSU rRNA
Rfam family: Bacterial small subunit ribosomal RNA
Source: RNAcentral